Non-coding RNA from Nelumbo nucifera (sacred lotus), 3910 nucleotides. NCBI's taxonomy places the organism in Eukaryota, Viridiplantae, Streptophyta, Magnoliopsida, Proteales, Nelumbonaceae. The record is from RefSeq and is a predicted model, not a curated record.
CUCCAUUCUAUUAUUAUUUCUCUUCUCCUCUCUUCUUCUUCUUCCCUGUUCUCGAUCUCUACGUUCUUUUCCUGAUAAGUCUAGGGUUGAUUGCUUUUGCGAAUGACAGAUCCAAAUCUAGAGUUGCAGGAGGCAGGUUGGGAGGAAUUGAGGAAAGAGGCCAGAAAGAUCCAAGGGAUAUCUUAAUGUGAAGUCCUCUUCCUACGCUAAGCUCGGAGCAAGGUUUACCCAAGCAGGAGGUUAUGCAGAUAUUGGGUCACCCACUCUUGGGUCCAAGUCUAUUGAUUCAAUCUUUGUUUGAUACCAAUGAUGCCAUGAGCCGAUGUGCUACAUCUGCAGCACUUACUACCUCUGUAACACAGAAACUAGCAAGGCACAGAGAUAUACUUCAUGAGUUUACACAGGUUGUUACCUGUGGCAGCAUUCCAUUAGAGUCAUCGUACCAGAGGGUGCCCAGGUGUGUAUAUGUAUCUACAGAAUUAUACGAGUAUAAAGGAUGGGGUGAAAAGUCUGCAAGCUCCAAGCACAGUCCAUUUUCAUGGGGAGUUAGGCAUUCAGAGAUAUUAAUCUUGCUGCAAUGAGCAUAUCAUCAACAUAAAGCAACAAGUGAACAAGAGAAUCAUCUACAAGUUUCCUGAAAUAAACACAACUAUUAUACUUGCAACUAGAAUAACCAAGAGCCACUAUAAUAGAGUCAAAUCUUCUAUACCAUUGCCUAGGAGAUUGUUUUAAGCCAUAUAGAGAUUUUUUUAACAAGCAAACGUGGUCUUUCAUCCCUUCAACAACAAAACCCUCGGAUUGAUGCAUAUAAAUUUGUUCAGCAUAACCAUAUCUCUGGGGAGGUCUAAUCUCUCUCCUUGUUCCACCUGUAGCAAUAGAAUACUGUUCCUCUUCUUUCUCUUGUACAUGUUCUUCUAUCUCAGUAGAAAUGGGCACCUGGACUGAUGUAAGCUAAGGUGAGAAAACACUUUUAACUUCUAACUCCACCAUCUUUCCUUAACCUUGUGUUUUAUUUACAUCAUAAGAAUUUGAAGACUCCUUUCUUGGGUUAAGCAUAGUUGAUUCAUCAAAAGUAACAUCUCUACUAACUAUGAAUUUUGGUGAUUUAGGAUGAGGAUACCACAAACUGUAUCCACACCUUAAGCAUAACCAAGAAAUAUGCACUUCUUGGCCCUAGGCUCAAACUUGCCUUCAUUAACAUGUGCAUAUGCUGAACAACCAAAUAUUUUUAAAGUUGAAUAAUUAGGAGGGUUGCCAGACCAUACCUUUUCUGGAGUCUUACAUUCAAUGGUUGUAGAUGGAGAUCGAUUUACCAGGUGACAAGUCAUAUUAACUGCUUUCGCCCAAAAAUCCUUUGAGAGACCAGCAUUUGACAACAUGCACCUUGCUCUCUCUAAUAGAGUUUUGUUCAUAUGUUCUGCAACUCCAUUCUACUGCAGUGUUUUGACAACAGUACGAUGCCUUAUAAUGCCUUCAUUUUUGCAAAACUCAUUAAAUUCAUUUUCACAAAACUCUAAACCAUUAUCUGUUCUCAACCGCUUGACCUGUUUUUCUGUUUGCUUUUCAAGCAAAGUUUUGCAAUGUUUAAAAGUCACAAAUACAUCAUUCUUAUGCUUCAGAAAAUAAACCCAUACCUUCCUGGAGUAAUCAUCGAUGAUGGUAAGAAGAUAUCGAGCACCACCCUUUUAUGGAACUUGUGAAGGUCCCCAUAGAUCUAAGUGAACAUAAUCCAAAGUGCCCUUUGUCCUAUGAACGGCUGUACUGAAACUAGUUCUUUUCUGUUUCCCAAAAAAACAAUGUUCAUAGAAGUCAAGAUUUACUAUACUUUCGCCACAAAGAAGGCCUCUCCUACUUAACAUAGUAAGUCCCCUUUCACUCAUAUGUCCUAGCCUCAUGUGCCAUAACUUGGUGGUGUCAGACUCAGAUAGAGAUGAUGUAAAAUUGCAAUUGAACCUGUGAUAGUAGUACCCUGCAGCACAUACAGACUUCCUAUCUUCAUGCCUUUCAUCACAACAGGAGCACCCCUAUUGAUUUUCAGAACUCCACCUUCAGCUGAAUAUUUACACCCUUCAGCAUCUAGAGUGCCAAGAAAGAUGGAAUUUUUCUUUAAGUCCGGUACAUUUGUUAAUGUUCUCACAACACCAUCAUGCAUUCUGAUUCAAAUUGUUCCUUUUCCCACAGUUUUACAGGAGACAUUAUUACCCAUCAAUACAACUCCACCAUUAAUAGAUUUGUAGGUGGAGAAUUAGUCCCUGUUGGGACACAUAUGGUAGGAACAACCUGAAUCCAGAAUCCAUUCAUCCUUGGAUCUUGUUCUAUCAUCUGCCACUAAGAGAAUAUCCACAUUCUCAUCCUCGGCCACAGUAGCCUCUGUAGAGUUAUUUUUGUUUUCUUUUCUUCAUUUUGGUUUUUAUUUUUCAACUUAUAACAUUCUGACUUAAUGUUCCUUUUCUUGUGACAGUAGUUACAGGUCAAGUUCUUAUGUCUAGAUUUUGAUCUAGACUUAGAUUUAAUACUUGAGCCAUUAUCCUUAGACCUCCCUCUUGCAAACAAUCUAGAGUCUUGACUAUCACCCUAUUCAUAGUCAAAUAUUUAUCAAUCACCUCUUUAGAGAGUAAUGCCUUUUUAACAUCCUCUGUACUAAUGGUGUCUCUUCCAUAGAUGAGAAACUCUCUAUAAGACUUAUACGAGGGUGGUAAGUAACAAAGUAACAAAAGGGCUUUGUCUUCAUCUUCAACCUUAACAUCAAUAUUUUGCAGGUCCAUGAUAAUAGAGUUAAAUUCAUCAAUGAGAUUUUAUGGGUGUACCUUUAGCCAUCCAAAAUAGGAACAGUUUUUCUCCUUCCCGUACAGAUCUUUGUGUAGUCUGUAUUGACCCAAGAUGGCAUGCAUCUUGACUUGCCAAAUACUGAAACUGAUGCUACCAUCGAACUUCUCAAUAUCAAACUUUAUUGAUGACAUUAUAAGUGCCAAAUGAAAAAUAGGGUUUUGAUACCAGUUUGUUGCAUGAAAACCCAAGAAAACAGAUUCGUAAUGGUACUCAAAUGAAAAUAAAACAAAGAUAAAGAGAAAGCAAGCACAAAGAACACACAGAUUUACGUGGUUCGGCUUAUAGCCUAUAUCCAUGGGCGAAGGAGGAACAGAAAUCCACUAUGAAGUAGGUAAUGGAGAAGAAAUAUAGAGUUGUGCUCUCAUAGAAAACCCUAAGCCCCAAAUACGUCCAAUGUCUCACUCUCACUCCCACAAGACUCAGACUUCUGUAUACAAGAGAGAAAACCCCCGAAAUACAUGACUCUUCAUAUUCGGUUCGGACCUAUAAGAUGAAUAUGGGUCGGGUCUAAGCCCUACGCAUCCACCACAAACCACUAUGAAAAUUUUCCUUCGGGUUUUUCUCAAAUCAAUUCGGAGUGGAUUCAUUAAGUGGGUCGCCACAAAGAAUUCAAGGCACAAACAUAACAGUCGCCACCUCUAACCCCAACUCCUCUAUGACUUAAUUCCCAUCCCAAUUUGAGCAAAGCCGACAUUUCUGCCACCGUUGCCAUCUGGUUGUUCUCGAGCUUUUGAGUCAAUUAACGUAAAGGGAAUUUGCUGCAAAAGACAAUCCGUGACCAUCGAUCGAACAAUGGACAAUGGGCUUCCACUAUCGUCGAUCGAUGUCUACUUCUCGCUAUCGGAGUGACAGAUUGGGGGAGCUUCAGGCGAUGCCUUACAUUUCUGAUUAUUCCUCGAGACCAUGGGGAGUUUGGGCUCGACGGAUCGAUGUGGUCGCCCAGAGGGGUUUUAGGGAGGCUCUUAGCAGGGGGAUGAAAAGAUCAAGGAGUGGGGAUGGAGUAUACUGACGGCCAUUGAAGGUGGAGACAACCUUGGGGGAGAGGUCGAGGGAACUUACGAGGUCGGCAUUAUCUAAAUAU